This 497-nucleotide ribosomal RNA is filed under the name uncultured bacterium. RNAcentral's name for it is "partial 16S ribosomal RNA". It matches the Rfam family "Bacterial small subunit ribosomal RNA", at positions 28 to 507 of the family's 1533-position model. The record is from RNAcentral.
GAUGAACGCUGGCGGCGUGCCUAAUACAUGCAAGUCGAGCGAACAGACGAGGAGCUUUCUCCUCUGACGUUAGCGGCGGACGGGUGUGUAACACGUGGAUAACCUACCUUUAAGACUGGGAUAACUUCGGGAAACCGGUGCUAAUACCCGAUAAUAUAUUGAACCGCAUGGUUCAAUAGUUAAAGACGGUUUUGCUGUCACUUAUAGAUGGAUCCGCGCCGCAUUAGCUAGUUGGUAAGGUAACGGCUGACCAAGGCAACGAUGCGUAGCCGACCUGAGAGGGUGAUCGGCCACACUGGAACUGAGACACGGUCCAGACUCCUACGGGAGGCAGCAGUAGGGAAUCUUCCGCAAUGGGCGAAAGCCUGACGGAGCAACGCCGCGUGAGUGAUGAAGGUCUUCGGAUCGUAAAACUCUGUUAUUAGGGAAGAACAAAUGUGUAAGUAACUAUGCACGUCUUGACGGUACCCAAUCAGAAAGCCACGGCUAACUACGUG